GAUGAACGCUAGCUACAGGCUUUAAACACAUGCAAGUCGAGGGCAGCGGGAUUGAAGCUUGCUUCAAUUGCCGGCGACCGGCGCACGGGUUGAGUAACGCGUAUCCAACCUUCCGUACACUCAGGGAUAGCCUUUCGAAAGAAAGAUUAAUACCUGAUGGUAUCUUAAGCACACAUGUAAUUAAGAUUAAAGAUUUAUCGGUGUACGAUGGGGAUGCGUUCCAUUAGGUAGUAGGCGGGGUAACGGCCCACCUAGCCAACGAUGGAUAGGGGUUCUGAGAGGAAGGUCCCCCACAUUGGAACUGAGACACGGUCCAAACUCCUACGGGAGGCAGCAGUGGGGAAUAUUGCACAAUGGGGGAAACCCUGAUGCAGCGACGCCGCGUGAGCGAAGAAGUAUUUCGGUAUGUAAAGCUCUAUCAGCAGGGAAGAAAAUGACGGUACCUGACUAAGAAGCCCCGGCUAACUACGUG
This 472-nucleotide ribosomal RNA is filed under the name uncultured bacterium. Its description in RNAcentral is "bacterial SSU rRNA". It matches the Rfam family "Bacterial small subunit ribosomal RNA", at positions 28 to 507 of the family's 1533-position model. The record is from RNAcentral.